This 570-nucleotide ribosomal RNA is filed under the name uncultured bacterium. RNAcentral describes it as "partial 16S ribosomal RNA". It matches the Rfam family "Bacterial small subunit ribosomal RNA", at positions 355 to 912 of the family's 1533-position model. The record is from RNAcentral.
UGGGGAAUAUUGGACAAUGGGCGCAAGCCUGAUCCAGCAAUGCCGCGUGUGUGAAGAAGGCCUUCGGGUUGUAAAGCACUUUUAUCAGGAGCGAAACGCUGUCGGCUAAUACCCGGCGGAACUGACGGUACCUGAGGAAUAAGCACCGGCUAACUUCGUGCCAGCAGCCGCGGUAAUACGAAGGGUGCAAGCGUUAAUCGGAAUUACUGGGCGUAAAGCGUGCGUAGGCGGUUUCUUAAGUCUGCUGUGAAAUCCCCGGGCUCAACCUGGGAAUGGCAGUGGAUACUGGGAGGCUAGAGUGUGUCAGAGGGUGGUGGAAUUCCCGGUGUAGCGGUGAAAUGCGUAGAGAUCGGGAGGAACAUCAGUGGCGAAGGCGGCCACCUGGGACAACACUGACGCUGAGGCACGAAAGCGUGGGGGAGCAAACAGGAUUAGGAUACCCUGGUAGUCCACGCCCUAAAGCGAUGCGAACUGGAUGUUGGUCUCAACUCGGAGAUCAGUGUCGAAGCUAACGCGUUAAGUUCGCCGCCUGGGGAGUACGGUCGCAAGACUGGAAACUUAAAUGAAUUG